Molecule: RNase P RNA, 381 nt
Filed under: Actinomycetota bacterium
Lineage: Bacteria; Bacillati; Actinomycetota
Description: RNase P RNA component class A
Rfam family: Bacterial RNase P class A
About the family: Ribonuclease P (RNase P) is a ubiquitous endoribonuclease, found in archaea, bacteria and eukarya as well as chloroplasts and mitochondria. Its best characterised activity is the generation of mature 5'-ends of tRNAs by cleaving the 5'-leader elements of precursor-tRNAs.
Source: RNAcentral
GGAGCCGGUCGGGUGACCGCGGCCGCAGCGUUUGCUGCGGUCGAGGAAAGUCCGGACUCCACAGGGCAGGACGCUGGGGAAAAUCCCAGGCGGGGCGACCCGCGGAAAGUGCCACAGAAAACAGACCGCCCCGGGCAUCGCCCGAGGUAAGGGUGAAACGGUGAGGUAAGAGCUCACCAGCGCGCCGGGUGACCGGCGCGGCUCGGUAAACCCCGUCCGGAGCAAGGCCAAGCAGGAGGCAUGGGCGGCCCGUCCGCCCGGCAUGCCGGGCACCUCCGGGUAGGCCGCACGAGGUGGGUGGCAACGCCCACCCCAGAUGGAUGGUCACCGCCCCGGCCUCUGGCCGGGGUACAGAAUCCGGCUUAUAGACCGGCUCCCAUU